UACGUAGGCAGCGAGCGUUGUUCGGAAUUACUGGGCGUAAAGAGUGUGUAGGCGGUGCUCUAAGUUCGGUGUGAAAUCUCCCGGCUUAACUGGGAGGGUGCGCCGGAAACUGGAGUGCUCGAGCGUGGGAGAGGAAAGCGGAAUUCCUGGUGUAGUGGUGAAAUGCGUAGAUAUCAGGAGGAACGCCUGCGGUGUAGACGGCUUUCUGGACCAUUGCUGACGCUGAGACACGAAAGCGUGGGUAGCAAACAGG
Molecule: ribosomal RNA, 253 nt
Filed under: uncultured bacterium
Lineage: Bacteria
Description: partial 16S ribosomal RNA
Rfam family: Bacterial small subunit ribosomal RNA
Source: RNAcentral